UUGGGAAGGAUUCCCUCUUUCUGGAUUAUUUGGAAUAGUUUCAGAAGGAAUGGUAACAGUUCCUCUUGUGUGUCUGGUAGAAUUUGGCUGUGGACCCAUCUGGACCUGGGCUUUUCUUGUAUGGUAGGCUGUAAAUUGCUGCCUCAACUUCAGAUCUUGUUAAUGUGUCAGUAUCUUCAAGAGCAGCUGCAUCCUUCUAGAGUGCUCUUUUAGUACACAGGAAAGGCCCAAGAUAUAGACAUUUUAUUUGCUGUUAUAUAUGUUAGUCAACUCAAAUAAAUUAUUUUUAAUAAUAACUUUAGAAAAGAGGACUAUAUAAUUCAUAAUUAAAACAGAAUGGAUAUCCUUAAUAGAUAAUCUAUAAGCCUUGAUAUUAUUAAAUAUGAAAAUUCAAUAAUCUGCCACUAAUUGUCCACCAAAUAAAUCAUAAUAUCUAAAAAGGCAAGAAAGUUAUACUUUGUAAAGUCAAACAAUUUACAUAUAAGAGGUGACUUUUAAAGAAUGAGAUUGAUUUUGACAGAUGUGCCAGAAUUUAUAUAGUCAUAUGGGUAUGUUCCCUAAAAUCUGAGGUCUACGGAGAAUUACUUAAUAAAACGCAGUUGCAUUGACUUCGAGAUAUUUUAUUUCCAGAUCUCUUCCUCAUUUCAACAGGUCAGGCCAACAAAUGAUUUCUGACAUUUCUAAAAAUUGAAUCCAGACUCAAAGUACGAAACUGCAUCCAUAGUCAUUCAGACACCUGUCAGAGUUUCUCUGGAAGGAAUUUCAAAGCAGAAUUUUAAAACUGUCUAGAGCCAAUUGGUAGUAUCUCCAACGUGUUAAGAAUAGUACCAGUUGCUCAAUAAACAAUAUUUAAUUUAACUCUCCCCACAGUGCUAUGAGUUGAUAUUUCAAUAUGCUUUCAUGCUUCCGUAGUAACUGGUUCUUGUCCUCAUCAUGGCAUGUAACACACUUAUUCCUCCUUUAGGUUUCUUUAGGCAGGAGCUAUGUUGUAUCUACUGUUUUAUCCCCACUGCCAGAGCAGGGGUUGGAACAUGACAUGUACUCAGCAAAAUGUGUUGAGUCGAUGAAUAGUAUUAUCUUCAUUAUAAACUCAUAACAUUGAGUUUCAAAAGUGUUAGAUGAGAUCAGACAGCUAGUAAAUGGCAUAG
RNAcentral lists this long non-coding RNA (1148 nucleotides) under Callithrix jacchus (white-tufted-ear marmoset). Its description in RNAcentral is "lncRNA (ENSCJAG00000083581.1)". The record is from RNAcentral. Lineage: Eukaryota; Metazoa; Chordata; Mammalia; Primates; Cebidae.